RNAcentral lists this long non-coding RNA (204 nucleotides) under Lathyrus oleraceus (garden pea). Its description in RNAcentral is "Pisum sativum (pea) long non-coding RNA (PSAT_LNC032658)". The record is from RNAcentral. Lineage: Eukaryota; Viridiplantae; Streptophyta; Magnoliopsida; Fabales; Fabaceae.
UUGGACUUGCUUAUGUUAUUCUCUCUACCACCCUUCGGUUCCUUUUUAUGACUUAUCCCCAUAUUUCCAGUGACAAGUACCUCGGAUUGAGAUGAAUAACCAUGUGUCUUCCUUCUUAUCUCCUUGUUAAUAAUACCACCCUUAUUCGUUUCCAAAGAAACAACACCUCUGGGAGCAGAACUUGUGAUAGAAACUUGAAACGCC